CAUUUGGUUCUGAUGUUACUUUUGCAG
Molecule: non-coding RNA, 27 nt
Filed under: Cricetulus griseus (Chinese hamster)
Lineage: Eukaryota; Metazoa; Chordata; Mammalia; Rodentia; Cricetidae
Source: RNAcentral